CCUACGGGAGGCAGCAGUAAGGAAUAUUGGACAAUGCUCGCAAGAGUGAUCCAGCCAUGCCGCGUGCAGGAAGAAUGCCCUAUGGGUAGUAAACUGCUUUUGAACUAGAGAAAAUCCCAGUACGUGUACUGGGCUGAUAGUAUAGUUAGAAUAAGCAUCGGCUAACUUCGUGCCAGCAGCCGCGGUAAGACGAAGGAUGCAAGCGUUAUCCGGAUUCAUUGGGUUUUAAAAGGGAGCGUAGGUGGACUGAUAAGUCAGUGGUGAAAUCUCCGAGCUUAACUCGGAAAUUGCCAUUGAUACUGUUGGUCUUGAGUACAGUUGCUGUGGGCGGAAUAUGACAUGUAGUGGUGAAAUACAUAGAGAUGUCAUAGAACACCGAUUGCGAAGGCAGCUCACAAAGCUGUAACUGACACUGAGGCUCGAAGUAGCGGGGAGUACAACAGAUAGAUACCUACGGUAGUCGCACCGUAACCGAAUAGAUUACUCGCUGCGUGGGGGCGGAACCGUUUAACGUUGGUCGUUAGUCGAAGACGAGUAAGUUAAUACCCACCCGUCGGGGAGGGUACGGCCCGGGCCGACCGGGUACGGAAACGUACGAAAGGAAAGUUAGGUUACGGCCGUUGGAGGACGUUGGCCGACGGGACGACCGACCGAGGGGAGGGUAGGGAG
This 669-nucleotide ribosomal RNA is filed under the name uncultured bacterium. Its description in RNAcentral is "bacterial SSU rRNA". The stretch from base 1 to 551 matches the Rfam family "Bacterial small subunit ribosomal RNA", at positions 338 to 873 of the family's 1533-position model. The record is from RNAcentral.